GUGAAGAUGAAAAUACAUAUAAAUCUUUUAAUGGGAAAUGAGAAUAAAAGUAAAUUCCAAAAUUGAUUUUACUGGCAAUGGAGUGGAGGAACCAAAGGAAAAUGGAUUUAGUCAGGGUAAAGGAAAGAAGGAGGGAACAAGCCUAUCAACUAACAGAAGCCAACAGCCAAUUUAAAAGCUUGCAGCAUUAAGGGACCAAAAUUAAUGACCGCCUUUCCCAGGUAAUUAUUGUUCCAUUGUAUAUUUCACUGCCUUUAUAAUCUACAACUCCCUCCCUUUAAAUGGAGGCUACUGAAAUCAGUAAUAUGGUAGAUCCGUAACUUAGUUCUCAGUCAGUAAGUCACAGUGCCUUCAAGAAAGGAACUCCUUCAUUUAAGUAGUCAUCUAUGUUCUCUGUGAAAUGCAGUUACUCAUAAAUAUGUAACUGACUGGUGUAUUGUGUUGUGUAUCUUUCUGUGAACACCUGGUCCACUGUGAUAACCACUUAUUUCUGUUGCCACCUGUGAUAAUUAUAACUCUGUAGCUUUAGUGGAAGAGAUUUAUGCUACAAAACUGAAAGUCCACUGUUUAGAUGCAGACAGUGAUGACUGAGGAGGCAUAAAUAUACUUUCACAAAACAAAGACAAAAACAAAAGCCAGGAUAUGUGAAUUUUAAUCUGGAGCAGUGCAUGUGAGUACUCAGCUGUUAAAAUAAGCAAUCGAGAUUUAAAAAAUAUAAAAUCACAAAAAUCGGAAACAGGUUUCUAUUUAUUAAGUUAACUCUGUCCCAUUCUAUUAUGAUGAUGGGUUUUUCUUAAAAAAAAAAAAUCCAAUCUUUCUAAAACCUUAGUUUUACUCUAGAUUAUAUCGAUUUACAUUAUAUCCAUAAAACAACAUCAAAAACAAACAAAAAAACCACCCACAUUUUCUUUCUUAAGAAAGAGAAAUAGUGCUAAAUCUUUGCAUUCAUUUGGAAGGAACCUAUGGGUUCUUAAUUAUUCUGUAAAGCAAACAACCAGGUGCCCUUACAGCCUAUCCAUUUUGCUCUGUGCAUGUGUAAGCCUCUCUGACAAAUAAACAAAUAUACCCAGCUAGUUCUUUUUGUACU
This 1087-nucleotide long non-coding RNA is filed under the name Anser cygnoides (Swan goose). Its description in RNAcentral is "lncRNA (ENSACDG00005018243.1)". Lineage: Eukaryota; Metazoa; Chordata; Aves; Anseriformes; Anatidae. The record is from RNAcentral.